AGCACCUGGAAUCUCACGCAACGCAGAGGCCCCUCCUGUGAGACAUGUGGCCCCUCUAGUCACCCCAGUGGCCCCUCCAGAGAGACAUGUGGCCCCUCUAGUCACCACAGUGGCCCCUUCAGUUUCCCCAGUGGCCCCUUCAGUUACCCAAGUGGCCCCUCCUGUGAGACAAGUAGUCCCUCCUGUGAGACAAACAGCAAAGGUUACUUGUUCACACUGCAACCUGCAAUUAAAACGGAAAAACAACAAGACCCACAUACGCCGAAAGCACGUAGAUUAUUUCGAGGUUGUUUCGAAAGAAAGACAUUUGGCAUGCCAGUGCAUCGAUACAAAAAAUGGGCGGACGUCAGUACGCCUUGGCCCCAGACUAUCUGGCGCCGUGUGAGGCUAAGAUCUGAGCCAAGUUUCUGUGAACACAGUAUAUAUGAAAGUCAAUUUAACAGUACAAUACUUCUGCUAUUCUUAACCCUCCUAAAAAUGCAUAAAAGCUUAGAACACAGUUGUAACAGGAUAAGCCAACAGGCUGGAAUUCAAGUAAAGUAAAUUCAAAUAAAUGGCCUAAUGGGGUCAGAACAGCCCCACUGAUAAGUUGCAACUAUGCCUCUGUUUCACGCAUCCAUUUGGAAAUUAUGUACAGUAUCUACAAUUUUACUUUAUGUAAAACAGAGCCAUAAUUUAAAAAUAAAAAAUAGAUGAGUGGUCAGAACUACCACUAUCCAGCAAUGAUAAAACUAAAAAACCUGAAUGGUACGGUGCGACUUUGAUCUCUCAACCCACAUAGGCUAUAAUGGUCCUUUGAAGCCUGCUAUAGUAGGACACCUUGGGCUCGUACACAGAAAUGUGGUAUUUGGCUUUGGAGCUUACCAACUGUAAGCUCCAAAGACCUUCAGCACCUGCCCCCUUUUGCCGCUGUAUGAGGCUUGCUUUCCUCUCCUCUCCAAACCAUUUGUUUUAGAUCAUCCCAACUAAGGAUUCCUCCGAUAAAACAGGAACUUUGCUCUCUGACCGUGGGCAGUAUGACAGUGACCUCAGAUGGUGACAUUCAAAGGGUAAGAUCCUGGAUCAUACGGCAUAUUCUGCAUUCAGUUGGCGUUGGUUCGACUCACAUAAGAUUUUCUGUGUAGGUCCCCGUGUUUUUUUUAGAACGUGUAUGGGGGUUGCUGGACCAUGAAACGACUUUUCAACUGCAAACACAGGGAAGCCCCCUUACACCAAUUUGAAGCCCUCUUACACACCAUUUCUAAACCACAUAGAAGAAUUAUUUUCGGCUAGGAGAUGGCGCGUAUAUGACCGCCUACCUCAUGCUCGCAUGCCUCUUCUGCAGGCAAUGGAACAGGCCUGCGGAGACAUCAACAUAGGGUCAAUCCAUGGAUGGAUUCGGCACACAAGGCAAUAUUUUCCCCGAUGCUUAGCGGGAGAAAACAUUGCUUGUGAUGUUGAUGAGAUCCUAUGGCCAGACCCCAACAGACGGCAGGAUCCAUAAGCCCACCCACGCACAAAUGCCAUGACUUUCUGUGUUCACAGUACAGUAUGGUUUAUUUUUUUUAUUUUAUUUGCUCAAACUGUAUUUACUGCACUGUAAUGUAAAGUACUGCAAUGUACAGCAUUUAGUAUUUGAUCUUUUGGUUGUGGUGAAAACGUGCCCUCUGUGGAACUGAAUAAAAACAGUGAACAUGAAAGACUGCAGUGUUUUAUAUAAAGUAGACCAGUGUGUUGCUGCUGAUCUGAAAGUGUAUUCAUAUGAUGCAAGUGUGUUUCAUUUUAACAUCAGAGUGCCAUUUUUACAAAGAAUUGUUAGGUUUCAAUAGCCGAGUUUCGAUUUGACAUAGAUGUGAAUGGUUUAUUUCCCAGUGUUGUGUCUUAUUUGCUUGUGUGUUGAGUUUUGACACAAUGAGCCAAAUUUUGCAAAACGUGUUUGUCAAGGGGUAGAAUGUCGAGCGGUCUUAGGAUCAGCACAAAAAGGCAGUGGUGCAGCAAAAAUUACUUUUAUUUACAUUUUCAGAGCAUAUACAGAGAGCAUGGCCUAGCUUCUGCCUUCUAGCUCCCCCGUCGGGACUGACACGGCUCCCUUAUAUGGGCUGACCCGAGAUUGGUGCAUACCAAUCCCUCAAAUAUCAGCGGGGGUGUUUACAUAUCAAAUCAACAAAAUAUGCAUAAAAACUGGUCAAAACAAACGUAUCUUAAAUGAAUUAAACUACAACACCUUAGUUAAUAUUCGUGCGUCUAUACCCGCCACUACUUACAAAUUAUAUAUUCCAACAAAGAUAAUUGAUUUGGCGGAGACGCAACGGCGUCACUCGCACACGCCCCGCACCAUAUAGCUGUCCCCAGUCGGGCACGCGCUUCCUAGAAGCCGCAGGGAUCGCACAGCUGACCACGGCGGUGAGCAGUUCUACUUUUUACCACUCCAUAAACAAACCCGCCCCACGAUCGCAUCAUACACCAAACCCCAAACAAUAUGCAGAAACUAUGCAGAAACUUUAUUGCGGGUUAAUCUUGCACGUCAGAUAAAUGCCCGGUGCGGCCUCAAUACGGACGCGUGAGGACGCGCCAGUAGCCGCGUCAUCACACACCCCCCUACUUAAGCUUGAACCUCCUCGUAGAGGCGGGACAAGAAGUCAGCAGUCACAUUGUCUUUUCCAGCCUUGUACUGGACAGUGAACUUAUACGGCUGCAAAGACAGAUACCACCGCGUAAUCCGGGCGUUACUGUCCCUCAUGCGAUGCAUCCAUUGCAGUGGCCGGUGGUCAGUCUCUAGCACAAACUCUUUCCCCAUCAAGUAGUACUUCAGAGUGUCCAGUGCCCACUUGAUGGCCAGACACUCCUUCUCUACCGUGGAAUACCUGGUCUCUCUGGGGAAGAGUUUGCGACUGAUGUAUAGGAUCGGCCUCCACUGGUCUCCCUCCCCCUGUAACAAGACGGCCCCCAGCCCCAGUCCUGAGGCAUCCGUCUGGACAAUGAAGGGUAGGUCAAAGUUGGGGCUCUGCAAAACUGGACUGUGACACAGGCUGCCCUUCAGGUCCUGAAAAGCCUGUUCACACUCCUCUGUCCACACCAGCUGGUUGGCGCUUGAUUUGCGAGUGAGGUUGGUCAGCACCGCAGCCCUAGCAGAAAAGUUCGGUAUGAACUGCCGGUACCACCCCACCAAGCCCAGGAAGGAACGCACUCCCUUCUUGGUUGUGGGUGGCGGGCAGCCUUGGACGGCCUCCACCUUGUUCACCUGAGGUUUAAUGUUACCGCCUCCAAGAACAUACCCCAGGUAGCAAACCUCAGGUCUGGCCAGCUGGCACUUGCUGGCAUUGACCACCAGCCCGGCAGCCUUGAUCCUCUGGAACACAUCAGCCAGGUGGGUCAAAUGUUCAUCCCAUGAUGAGCUGUGGAUGAUCACAUCAUCG
Long non-coding RNA from Gadus morhua (Atlantic cod), 3395 nucleotides. The record is from Ensembl. Lineage: Eukaryota; Metazoa; Chordata; Actinopteri; Gadiformes; Gadidae.